GUGAGGAAUAUUGCGCAAUGGAGGCAACUCUGACGCAGCCAUGCCGCGUGCAGGAAGAAGGCGCUACGCGUUGUAAACUGCUUUUAACCGGGAAGAAACCCCAGGACGUGUCCUGGGUUGACGGUACCGGAGGAAUAAGCACCGGCUAACUUCGUGCCAGCAGCCGCGGUAAUACGAAGGGUGCAAGCGUUAUCCGGCUUCAUUGGGUUUAAAGGGUGCGUAGGCGAAGCGUUAAGUCAGUGGUGAAAUCCUGCAGCUUAACUGUAGACUUGCCAUUGAUACUGGCGCUCUUGAGUGCGCUUGAAGUGGGCGGAAUGUGCCGUGUAGCGGUGAAAUGCUUAGAUAUGGCACAGAACACCAAUUGCGAAGGCAGCUCACUAAGGCGAUACUGACGCUGAGGCACGAAAGCGUGGGGAUCGAACAGGAUUAGAUACCCGAGUAGUCC
Molecule: ribosomal RNA, 445 nt
Filed under: uncultured bacterium
Lineage: Bacteria
Description: partial 16S ribosomal RNA
Rfam family: Bacterial small subunit ribosomal RNA
Source: RNAcentral